UGCGUCUUCAGCGUUGACUUCAUGGUCAUGAUCCAAAUUUAGGUAUGGACGCCAAAUGAACUGAAAUGUGAAAGUAACUUGGAUUAUAAACUUGGUAGAAGAAGUUAACAAAUUAUAACGAAAUAAUGAGGUUAUUAAAUGAACUGAAAUGUGAAAGUAACUUGGAUUAUAAACUUGGUAGAAGAAGUUAACAAAUUAUAACGAAAUAAUGAGGUUAUUAUCCUUAC
This 227-nucleotide long non-coding RNA is filed under the name Lathyrus oleraceus (garden pea). RNAcentral's name for it is "Pisum sativum (pea) long non-coding RNA (PSAT_LNC030629)". Lineage: Eukaryota; Viridiplantae; Streptophyta; Magnoliopsida; Fabales; Fabaceae. The record is from RNAcentral.